RNAcentral lists this unclassified non-coding RNA (233 nucleotides) under plant metagenome. RNAcentral's name for it is "partial contains small subunit ribosomal RNA, internal transcribed spacer 1, and 5.8S ribosomal RNA". The record is from RNAcentral.
UUUCCGUAGGUGAACCUGCGGAAGGAUCAUUAUUGGAUUUUGAAACUUCAGGCUGCUGCUGGCUCUCCUCGGAGGGCAUGUGCACGCUUGUUGUCCAUUAUUUCUCCCACUGUGCACAAAUUGUAGUCCUUUCAGUAGGCCUAUGUUGUUUUUCACAAUCUCUGAAUGUAAUAGAAUGGUUUUGAAUCUUGGGAAAUACAAUACAACUUUCAGCAACGGAUCUCUUGGCUCUC